This is a non-coding RNA of Cebus imitator (Panamanian white-faced capuchin), 406 nucleotides long. The record is from the annotation of a RefSeq genome assembly. NCBI's taxonomy places the organism in Eukaryota, Metazoa, Chordata, Mammalia, Primates, Cebidae.
GGACUCCUCAGUGCACCUUCUCACAAUGAGGUUCCCUGCUCAGCUUCUGGGGCUGCUAAUGCUCUGGGUCCCUGGAUCCAGUGGGGAUAUUGUGAUGACCCAGACUCCACUCUCCCUGCCUGUCACCCUUGGAGAGCCGGCCUCCAUCUCCUGCAGGUCUAGUCAAAGCCUCCUGUAUAGUGAUGGAAACACCUACUUGUAUUGGUACCUGCAGAAGCCAGGACGGUCUCCACAGCUACUGAUUUAUAGGGUUUCCAACCGUUUUGCUGGGGUCCCAGACAGGUUCAGCGGCAGUGGGUCAAGCACUGAUUUCACACUGAAAAUCAGCAGGGUGGAGGCUGAGGAUAUUGGGGUUUAUUACUGCAUGCAAGCUCUAAAACAUCCUCCCACAGUGGUACAACCCUGA